This 860-nucleotide ribosomal RNA is filed under the name Curvularia verrucosa. RNAcentral describes it as "eukaryotic LSU rRNA". It matches the Rfam family "Eukaryotic large subunit ribosomal RNA", at positions 76 to 954 of the family's 3401-position model. Lineage: Eukaryota; Fungi; Ascomycota; Dothideomycetes; Pleosporales; Pleosporaceae. The record is from RNAcentral.
ACCCCUAGUAGCGGCGAGCGAAGCGGGUACAGCUCAAAUUUGAAAUCUGGCUCUUUUAGAGUCCGAGUUGUAAUUUGCAGAGGGCGCUUUGGCUUUGGCAGCGGUCCAAGUUCCUUGGAACAGGACGUCACAGAGGGUGAGAAUCCCGUACGUGGUCGCUAGCUAUUGCCGUGUAAAGCCCCUUCGACGAGUCGAGUUGUUUGGGAAUGCAGCUCUAAAUGGGAGGUAAAUUUCUUCUAAAGCUAAAUACUGGCCAGAGACCGAUAGCGCACAAGUAGAGUGAUCGAAAGAUGAAAAGCACUUUGGAAAGAGAGUCAAACAGCACGUGAAAUUGUUGAAAGGGAAGCGCUUGCAGCCAGACUUGCUUGCAGUUGCUCAUCCGGGCUUUUGCCCGGUGCACUCUUCUGCAGGCAGGCCAGCAUCAGUUUGGGCGGUGGGAUAAAGGUCUCUGACACGUUCCUUCCUUCGGGUUGGCCAUAUAGGGGAGACGUCAUACCACCAGCCUGGACUGAGGUCCGCGCAUCUGCUAGGAUGCUGGCGUAAUGGCUGUAAGCGGCCCGUCUUGAAACACGGACCAAGGAGUCUAACAUCUAUGCGAGUGUUUGGGUGUCAAGCCCGAGCGCGUAAUGAAAGUGAACGGAGGUGGGAACCCGCAAGGGCGCACCAUCGACCGAUCCUGAAGUUUACGGAAGGAUUUGAGUAAGAGCAUGGCUGUUGGGACCCGAAAGAUGGUGAACUAUGCUUGAAUAGGGUGAAGCCAGAGGAAACUCUGGUGGAGGCUCGCAGCGGUUCUGACGUGCAAAUCGAUCGUCAAAUUUGGGCAUAGGGGCGAAAGACUAAUCGAACUAUCUAGUAGCUGG